GUUUAAGUAGAAAAAGAAUAGCAGAUUUUAUAAGAAACUUAACGCAGCAGCACGCCCAGGUGGUGCCUUCGACACUCUUCGUGGCUGUUUUGUGUAUCUGUUUGAUCAUCAGUCGCUUGUUCGAGGAAAACCAAUGGGUUAACGAGUCCAUCACCGCCAUCAUCAUUGGAUGCAUCUCUGGAAUGUUUUUCUUGGUUCUGAGCAAUGGCAAGAGUUCCCACACAUUGAGAUUCAAUGAAGAUCUCUUCUUUAUAUAUCUCCUUCCACCUAUAAUAUUCAAUGCAGGAUUUCAGGUCAAGAAAAAGCAGUGCUUCCAGAACUUUAUAACCAUUAUGCUGUGUGGGGUGGUUGGUGUUUUCAUUUCAGCCUUCAUUAUUGUAGCUGGCAGCAGGUGGUUUUUUCCAAGAUUAGGAUUUCUUGGUCUGACUGCACGGGACCAUCUUGCUGCAGGAGCAAUAUUUUCAUCAAACGAUACAGUGUGUACAUUGCAGGUCGGUUGAGUUUGAAAAUGUUCUGUCUUUUGUCAUGUCCAUCUUCUUUAAUGUGGAAUGCAGGUUCUUCGUCAAGAUGAGACUCCUUUGC
This 582-nucleotide unclassified non-coding RNA is filed under the name Hevea brasiliensis (rubber tree). Lineage: Eukaryota; Viridiplantae; Streptophyta; Magnoliopsida; Malpighiales; Euphorbiaceae. The record is from RNAcentral.